This is a long non-coding RNA of Musa acuminata AAA Group (dessert banana), 483 nucleotides long. RefSeq lists it as uncharacterized. NCBI's taxonomy places the organism in Eukaryota, Viridiplantae, Streptophyta, Magnoliopsida, Zingiberales, Musaceae. The transcript has 2 exons. The record is from RefSeq and is a predicted model, not a curated record.
UGCACCAACAUAAUCAAACACGGCACCUUUUGGGUACCACGAUCUCGCCGCGAUUGCUGCUCUCUGCUGGAAUACGCCGCCGAUCUCGCCGGAACCAUGGCGUCCGGCAGAUACAUGGCCUAUUCGCCGUCCCCCUCCACCGCCACGCUCCCCUCACAUCUCCGGUAUGCCCUCGGCUGAUAGACCCCUCGUCGAGCAGGAGAAGAUAGCGUAUCGCUUGCUUAAAUGUUAAGAAUGGGCUGAGGUAGUGGAAAGUUUAGAAGACGUUGGCCAGAACUUUUGUUAGCAUAUAUGUAGUUGUGUAUAAGCUACCUUGCAUCUAAUGAAAUGUGACUGUGAAUCUGAACCUGUGGAUUUUGUGUAAGUUAAAGGAUCCCUCAUGUAUAGGGUUUUGGAAUGUUAAAUUAAAUUCGUGUAAUGAUAUGAACUUAUGGUAAAUCGAUGAUUGUGGUGACUGCAUAGAUUUCCCCACUUGUGGAUUUA